UGAGUACGAAAUGCUACGGCAUUGAAGCAGUCUAUGUCAUACUUCCAAGAAAAGCUUGCACUGUCAUAAACAAAUAAUGCCUGUACCAUAACCGACACAGGUGGGUAGGUAGAGUAUACUAAGGGGCGCGAGAUAACUCUCUCUAAGGAACUCGGCAAAAUGACUCCGUAACUUCGGGAGAAGGAGUGCCUUAUUUCUAAGGUUGCAAUAACAAGAUCCAAGCAACUGUUUAUCAAAAACACAGGUCUCCGCUAAGUCGUAAGACGAUGUAUGGGGGCUGACGCCUGCCCAGUGCCAGAAGGUUAAAGAAGUUGGUUAGCAUCCGCGAAGCUGUUAACUGAAGCCCUGGUGAACGGCGGCCGUAACAAUAACGGUCCUAAGGUAUCGAAAUUCCUUGUCGGGUAAGUUCCGACCCGCACGAAAGGCGUAAUGAUUUGGAUACUGUCUCGGAGAGGGGCUCGGUGAAAUAGACUUGUCUGUGAAGAUGCGGACUACCUGCACCUGGACAGAAAGACCCUAUGAAGCUUUACUGUAACUUGAAAUUGAAAUUGGACUUUAUUUGCGCAGUAUAGGUGGGAGGCGUUGAAGAUAUUCUUGCGGGAAGAUUGGAGCCAUCAGUGAGAUACCACUCUUGUAAUGUUAGAUUUCUAACUUUGUAUCAUUAUCUGGUCAAAGAACAGUUUCAGGCGGGCAGUUUGACUGGGGCGGUCGCCUCCCAAACGGUAACGGAGGCGCACAAAGGUUUCCUCUGAACGGGUAGAAAUCGUAUCUAGAGUGUAAAGGCAUAAGGAAGCUUGACUGUGAGACCUACAAGUCGAGCAGGGACGAAAGUCGGUCUUAGUGAUCUGACGGUGCUGAGUGGAAAGGCCGUCACUCAACGGAUAAAAGUUACUCUAGGAUAACAGGCUGAUCUCCCCCAAGAGUUCACAUCGACGGGGAGGUUUGGCACCUCGAUGUCGGCUCAUCGCAUCCUGGGGCGGUAGUACGUCCCAAGGGUUGGGCUGUUCGCCCCAUGAAAGCGGUACGCGAGCUGGGUUCAGAACGUCGUGAGACAGUUCGGUCCAUAUCCGGUGUAGGCGUUAGAAUAUUGAGAGGAGCCUUCUUUAGUACGAGAGGACCGAGAAGGACAUACCUCUGGUGUACCAGUUAUCGUGCCAACGGUAAACGCUGGGUAGCUAUGUAUGGAGAGGAUAACCGCUGAAAGCAUCUAAGUGGGAAGCCCACCUCAAGAUAAG
This 1235-nucleotide ribosomal RNA is filed under the name metagenome. RNAcentral describes it as "bacterial LSU rRNA". It matches the Rfam family "Bacterial large subunit ribosomal RNA", at positions 1564 to 2808 of the family's 2925-position model. The record is from RNAcentral.